GGCUUGUGGCUCAGUGGCAGAGUGCUUGCCUCACAUGUAUGUGGCACUGGGUUGGAUCCUCAACACCA
Molecule: transfer RNA, 68 nt
Filed under: Marmota monax (woodchuck)
Lineage: Eukaryota; Metazoa; Chordata; Mammalia; Rodentia; Sciuridae
Description: tRNA.Val
Source: RNAcentral